RNAcentral lists this ribosomal RNA (429 nucleotides) under Pseudomonadota bacterium. RNAcentral's name for it is "Proteobacteria bacterium partial 16S ribosomal RNA". It matches the Rfam family "Bacterial small subunit ribosomal RNA", at positions 355 to 776 of the family's 1533-position model. Lineage: Bacteria; Pseudomonadati; Pseudomonadota. The record is from RNAcentral.
UGGGGAAUAUUGGACAAUGGGCGAAAGCCUGAUCCAGCCAUGCUGCGUGUGUGAAGAAGGUCUUCGGAUGGUAAAGCACUUUAAGUUGGGAGGAAGGGCAGUAAGCGAAUACCUUGCUGUUUUGACGUUACCGACAGAAUAAGCACCGGCUAACGCUGUGCCAGCAGCCGCGGUAAUACAGAGGGUGCAAGCGUUAAUCGGAAUUACUGGGCGUAAAGCGCGCGUAGGUGGUUCGUUAAGUUGAAUGUGAAAGCCCCGGGCUCAACCUGGGAACUGAAUCCAAACCUGGCGAGCUAGAGUAGGGCAGAGGGUGGUGGAAUUUCCUGUGUAGCGGUGAAAUGCGUAGAUAUAGGAAGGAACACCAGUGGCGAAGGCGACCACCUGGGCUUAUACUGACACUGAGGUGCGAAAGCGUGGGGAGCAAACAGG